Molecule: unclassified non-coding RNA, 1800 nt
Filed under: Hevea brasiliensis (rubber tree)
Lineage: Eukaryota; Viridiplantae; Streptophyta; Magnoliopsida; Malpighiales; Euphorbiaceae
Source: RNAcentral
GUAAAAGUUAAGAACCUCUUCAUGAACAUUGUUUAUUCCACUCUUGGACUUUUGAUCAUCAAGAUAAUGUUGAUAGACAUAUGAAACGAAGCCCCAAAUAGCCAAAACCAAGGCAAUCACCUUCAAACCAUUCAUUUUUUCAUGGAAAAUGAAGACAGCGAGCACCGGGCCGAUAGGCAGACCCAAAGUACUAAUGACAUUAGAGAAGAGUGAAGAAACUUCAAAGAUCAACCCAGUACACCCAAUAUUGAAAACCUGCCAACCUAUAGCUGUCCAAAUCAAAGUCAUGAUGUAGGACACAUUUCCCAGUUCAAAUUCCUCCAUAUCUCUCCUUAAUCCCUUCCAUUCUCCACUGGCAAAAAGUCCCACCAGGAUAGCCAGAGUGGCAACUAUUGAUGGAUACAAUAUCAUAUCCAAAACCACCUUGUAAUUUUCCUGUUUUAACACUUCCCUGAAACAGAAUUGUGUUAAAGAAAGUAUCAAUCCAUACCCAGCAGAAGCACCAAGUGUGCAUAUAAACCCAAUCACAAACUUCCCUCUUGAGAUUUUCUUUGAUUCUGUGGAGUCACUUUGGAAUACAAGGAGGGUAGAGGAGAUAGUAAGAAGAACUACAGAGUUGAUAAUGAAAGGAGUAAACUUCUGUGAAUUGAGGAAGAAGGAAAACAAAGCAUUGAAGCCUAAUUGUGACGCACAAAUUAGAGUAUAUGUAGACACUGGCAGGCAUAAGAGCCCAAGUGAAUAAAGCAUACAAUUUGCUCCUAGAAAUAUCCCAAAUAUGGCAUAAAUCAAGACAAGAACUAGCUUGGAGGGCGAGUUUGGUUUAAUAUUGUUUGAGGUGGGAUUUUUGAGUGGUGGUGUGAAGUAAAGGAGAAGGAUAAAUGGGAAGCCAGCAGUUUGCACAAAUGUUGCCAUCCACUUGCUGUUUCCACCUUUGUCAAAGUAUAGUCUUCCCAAGAUUGUAGCCACUGUCUGGCCUGCAAGAAGGAAGAAUGUGAAGAUGGCUAUUCUGAGCCACCAACCAAAGUUCUGCUGUAGGAGGAGUAUUGGCUGGUUGGCCACAUUUGUGUGCUCAGGUCGAGUUGUCUCUUCAGCUUCCUCCCCUGGCAAGGAAACACAUAGAACUUAAAUACAAAAUGCUCAACAACAAUUUUCAGAGAAGCUAGCGCAUGGUUGCAUUUCUUGGGAGUAUCUAAAUGUAGAAAUAGCAUGUCUCCUGAGCUAAGAGCUCUUGGAUUUUUGCUUUUUCUAAUUAAAUUGAGAUUGAUAACUAGGAAAUUAUUUCAAUUCAUAAGAUCUUCUACUUUAAACGCAAAAUUGUUAUUGGUUUUUAUCAGUUACCCACCCAUCUCUCUUGAGAUGACAUGAAUGAUUUAAAGAAAACAAAAUGAAGGGUAAUUUUGGUUAAGUAAAAACUUGCUUACCCAUGAUGUGUAGCUGCACUUCUUGAGCCUCUCCCAUGCAAAAUGAUCAGGCUUAGAUGGAGAGGGAAAGAGAAUUCUUAGUUUAUCCAAACAAAGAAGAAGAAAUUCACCGUAUACAAUUCUUGCUGCUGACCAGUUUUUACUUGGAAAUUAAACUAAAAUGUAUAAUUUUAGUUCUUGGGCAGUUGUCGAUCAAUGGUCUAUUUGGCACUGAUUGUCCCUGCUUGUCUGUUAGCAGAGAAUUAUGACUUAGUUUAUGAACCCUACAAGGCGUUGUCAAUUGGUUUGUUUGGACUUGAAUCCAAUCCGCCGGCCUUGUAGGCCUUUAAUUUUACCAGAAUGUCGUAUUAGAAUAGGUGGAGUUAAAAAAAAAAAAAAA